CUCGGAUCCAUUCAAGAUGAUCUAAAGCGAAAGCAUGUGCCAAGGAUUUUUUCAUUAAUCAAGAACGAAAGUUAAGGGAUCGAAGACGAUUAGAUACCGUCGUAGUCUUAACUAUAAACUAUGCCGACCAGGGAUAUGAGUUGUUAGGAAUAUACGAAAGUAUAUUCAAUUUCUUCUUAUGGACCUUGUGAGAAAUCAUAAGUGUUUGGGUUCUGGGGGGAGUAUGGUCGCAAGGCUGAAACUUAAAGGAAUUGACGGAGGGGCACCACCAGGAGUGGAGCGUGCGGCUUAAUUUGACUCAACACGGGAAAACUUACCAGGUCCAGACAUUAGAAGGAUUGACAGAUUGAUAGCUCUUUCAUGAUUUGAUGGGUGGUGUUUUCAUGGCCGGUAGUAGUUGGUGGAGUGAUUGUCCUGUUA
This 420-nucleotide ribosomal RNA is filed under the name Vannella sp. AG-2012. Its description in RNAcentral is "bacterial SSU rRNA". It matches the Rfam family "Eukaryotic small subunit ribosomal RNA", at positions 919 to 1321 of the family's 1831-position model. The record is from RNAcentral. Lineage: Eukaryota; Discosea; Flabellinia; Vannellidae.